Sus scrofa (pig) is the source of this 610-nucleotide long non-coding RNA. RefSeq lists it as uncharacterized. The record is from RefSeq and is a predicted model, not a curated record. NCBI's taxonomy places the organism in Eukaryota, Metazoa, Chordata, Mammalia, Artiodactyla, Suidae.
GCUCUGAGUGUUGUCUGGAGUCUCCUUCCCUGCGUCUAGGAGGGGAAGGACUGGAGUUGGAGAGUGGGGUGGUGGGAGGAGCUGGAAGGGGUCCUGCUGGGGAGGGCGUGACUCAGAGGAGCUUGGGAAGGUGUGAACCGAGACCUCCUAAGGCGAGAUGAAGGAACUGAUUCCCUAAGGAGAAUUGAAGCUGGAAUUCAGACCCAGGUCUAUCCAACCCAAGAGAUCACCUCUGGAACUGCAUGGUCUCUAGGAAAGACUAAUUAUUUUCCACUCCUGUGGCAUAUGGACGGUUCCACGUCCGGGAUCUAACACAAGCUGUAGCUGUGACCUACGCCACAACUGUAGCAAUGCUGGAUCCUUAACCCACUGCGAGGUGCCACCACAGACAAGCCGGAUCAUUAACCCGCUGCACCACAGCAGCUAAUCCUACAGAGAUUAGUGUAAUAAAUCCCUAUGUACUUCUCACCCAGAUGUAAGAACUAUCAGUAUUCUGCCUUAUUUCAUCAAUACUCCCUCAGUCUUUUUUUUUUUCUUCUAAAUGUUUUUCUCCUUGAACACAUUCUACUUAAAAUGAAAGCUAUUGGGACAAAAAUCUCUUUAUUAAGAG